This 253-nucleotide ribosomal RNA is filed under the name uncultured prokaryote. Its description in RNAcentral is "partial 16S ribosomal RNA". It matches the Rfam family "Bacterial small subunit ribosomal RNA", at positions 525 to 777 of the family's 1533-position model. The record is from RNAcentral.
ACAGAGGGUGCGAGCGUUGUCCGGAAUCACUGGGCGUAAAGGGCGCGUAGGUGGCGGGAUAAGCGUGUGGUGAAAGCCCGGGGCUCAACCCCGUGUCUGCCAUGCGGACCGUUCUGCUUGAGCGUAGUAGAGGCAGGUGGAAUUCCGGGUGUAGCGGUGGAAUGCGUAGAGAUCCGGAAGAACACCGGUGGCGAAGGCGGUCUGCUGGGCUACUGCUGACACUGAUGCGCGACAGCGUGGGGAGCAAACAGGA